AUGAGCUCGGACGGACCGCGUGCUGCCUGCUGCGUGCGUCUCAUAAGUUUCCACCCACCACGUUCUCCGCCACGACUCCCCAGCUCUCAAAUUCCUCAAACCAUGGCCGCCGCGGCCUCACGGCACCUCUGCUCCGCCACGGCGCUGCUGUCCCCCUCCGCCGCCGCGGCGCCCAUCCGCCAGAGGGUCGGCUACGGCUCCUCCUCCAACCGCCGGUGGCUGUGCCGCCGGUGGGCCCACGGGCCGGAUGCCGCGUCCCGGAUCCGGCGCCUGACGACUCGCUCGAGGACAGCGAGGGUGAGCUGCGCCUAUUCCACCGGCGCUGAAGCAAUCACUGCAUGUUCCUGGAACCAAAAUGUCAUCUGCAGUGAUGUGCCUGUGCUUGUGGAGUUUUGGGCCUCAUGGUGUGGACCUUGUAAAAUGGUCCAUCGAAUUGUCGACGAGAUUGCGGCCGAAUAUGAUGGAAGAAUAAAGUGCUAUAAGCUUGACACUGAUGAUUACCCACAAACUGCAAUUUCCUACAAUAUUGAGAGGGUUCCGACUGUUUUACUAUUCAAGGAUGGAGAGAAAAUACAUAGUAUUACUGGAACUCUGCCAAAAGCCGUUUAUGUGAGGGCCAUUGAGAAUUCUUUCUUAGAACAGUGA
This 645-nucleotide ribosomal RNA is filed under the name Triticum aestivum (bread wheat). RNAcentral's name for it is "partial small subunit ribosomal RNA". The record is from RNAcentral. Lineage: Eukaryota; Viridiplantae; Streptophyta; Magnoliopsida; Poales; Poaceae.